This 2300-nucleotide long non-coding RNA is filed under the name Paramuricea clavata. The record is from RNAcentral. Lineage: Eukaryota; Metazoa; Cnidaria; Anthozoa; Malacalcyonacea; Plexauridae.
CCAAAUUGUUAAAUAAUUGUAUAAAUGCAUGACUGAAAGAUACAAGCUUAGCAAGCACUAAUUAUAUGACAACAUUGUAUAUAAAUCCCGGCUGAGGUCCGUAAACUGACUUAGUUCAUGAUUGUGGAGGUUUCAACUAACAAAAAUGACUUAUGUAUACCCACUUGUUAAAUAAUAAAUUUUAUUAAUGUAAAUUAUUUACUUUUAUGUACAUGUUGAUACAGCAAAAUGUGUAGUUGCAUACACAAUCGUUCUACUGUGUCAGUUGAUUAAUUUCCAAAUUAUAUGCAUGGCCUAUCGAAAGGAAGAACUCAUUAGAAUAAGGAUAUACAGUAACUCAUUAUCUAUGUUAUUCUAUAGUCAAGGUUUAUUCAUAAAUCUGGUCCUUCACCGUCACGUGUAUAUUGUAUUUUUGCCAAAUCCACCAAUAGAAAUUUCCAAUUUACUCUACUGUUCGACUCACAGAUAGGUAACUUUCCAUACUGACCCGACCCUACCCAUCAUCUGACCCGCUUGCUACAGACCCAACCUUUGCAGAACUGCCUAUUUCAGAGGUUCCUUCUUCAACAGAAUUGUUCCUCUGUGGAACAACCUUCCUGAAGAACUGAAAUCGUGGCCUCUACUGCCAUACUCAAAUAUAAACUGAAGAACUACUACCAAGACAAACUUGAAACAUUCUCUUGACGUUGAUCGUCCGAGGACAUGAAAAAGCAUUUGUUCUAUAAAUGUUGUUCUUGUUCUAUUACUUGUUGUUCAUAAGAGUUGAAAGCGUUCCAAGCUGUCUUUGCAUUUCCAAAAUGUCUUUUGUUUCAGUCCGUUUAAAUAAAUUAAAUUAAAUCAAAAGGCCAGAUGAAAACAAUUUACUUGGGCGGUCUAUGUUCUUGAAAUCCUAUUUUUGGAAAAUGCAGGGACAACUUUUUCCAGGACAGCUUGGAACACAUGCAUGUUUAGGUUGUUUACUGUAUUCUGUGAUUGUGCUAUACAAUGUUGAUACAUUUAUAUGUAUAAAAGUUUUUGGUAACUUGGUCAUUUCCUAAACCCCAUUUUUCAAUUUUCAGGUCUCUUCAUCUUAAGGUAGUUGACUUAGAAAGGACUGCAAUAUAUGGGCGGUCCGUGUCUAGUUUAAACUAACUUUGGAAAGUGUAAAGAUGGUUUGGAACGCUUUGAUCGUGUGUUGUAAUUUUGUGUUGUAGCUUUGUUAAAGUUUGUAACCCUGUCUCUAUUGUUUCACAAUGUCAAUGUAAUGUGUAGGUAGGACUUAAUUUAGGACUCUUCAGUCCUGUUGUCUGUACCUUAGUUCAUAAAUAAAUAAAUAAAACAUUGCCAUUGGUUAGUUGGGCAGGAAUACUAUACGCACGUGACGGUGAAGGACCGGAUUUAUGAAUAAACGUUCACUAUAACAUAGAAAAUGUUAUAUUCUUAUUCACAGCCAUCUUCCCUUCGAUAGGCUAUGGAAUGGCCUAGUUACCAUUUCCUUGGUCGUGCAUGGCUGUCCAGCCCUCGAAAACGAGGUCGGCAUUUGGCAAUGCUGACCUAACAGCAAUCAGCACCAAAAAAUUCUUACUUUGCCGACCUGGGAGAUUAAAACCUCCCAGGUCGGCAAAUUUUUGCCAACCUUAAUUCAGUCAAAGUAAGAAUUUUUUGGUGCUUAUUGCUGCUAAAAACUCAGCGAUUAUAGAAUUCGAUUCGUAGUUCGAUCAACUAAACACACUUUGGUGUAAGGUUUAAAAAUUGACGGGUAUUCUAUAUAUAAUUUAGGUAAGACUCCAAAAGAAAAGCCGUCGUGUUACUGUAGUUCGCAUUUCCGCGGGAAAAGGCAAUGCUUUAUAUUCCGAUUUCAAUGAUUCGUAAAUACGCGACUACUAGUGCUCCAAGACAAGGAAACAGAUUUUUAAAAAAUGCCUAGGUCUGAUUUAGGUCGGUAUUUUUUGCCGACCUCAACUUUGACGGUUUUCGAGGACUGGCUGUCUAAAGCCUGGUUUCCAUAUGGUCGUAAUGAUCGUAAAAUAGAGUCACGAUCUUUCUCAACGGUCAGUUUAUAAUAGUUUAUACCUGUAGACCACAUAUAAAUCAUAAGUAUUCUCUAGUUAUAAUCACUCCGCGUAUUUUCAGUUCUAAAAUGUUGUAUUUCGGCUGAUAAGAAAGAUCGUGACUCAAUCUUUACGACCAUUACGGGAGGGGGGGGGGAGGUUGAAUAGGUUCGGAUCGUCGGAUUCCACCGAAAAAUUGUUCGGAUUUUGGAUCUGGCGAAUAUUUUACACGGAUUUGCGGAUUUAUCUAACAUUUUGGCUCAGAUUGUG